Molecule: ribosomal RNA, 2998 nt
Filed under: uncultured spirochete
Lineage: Bacteria; Pseudomonadati; Spirochaetota; Spirochaetia; Spirochaetales
Description: bacterial LSU rRNA
Rfam family: Bacterial large subunit ribosomal RNA
Source: RNAcentral
UCAAGCGAGAGAGGGCGUAUGGUGGAUGCCUAGGAGCCGCAGGGCGAAGAAGGCCGUGACAAGCUGCGAGAAGCGACGGGGAGGAGCACAUAUCCGAAGAUCCGUUGAUGGCCGAAUGGGGUAACCCACCUGAGCGAUCAGGUAUUGUUGACUGAAUAGAUAGGUCAGUAAGGCGAGACCCGGGGAACUGAACCAUCUCAGUACCCGGAGGAGAAGAAAUCAAGCGAGAUUCCCUUAGUAGCGGCGAGCGAAGGGGGAAGAGCCCAAACCCAUACUGGUGUAAGGUGCACGCCGUUGCCAGCGGGGGGUAGCAGGAGCUGUUUGGAGGGACGUGCAGGACCUCGCGAAGGGAGAAGGGUGCGACGUAGGAGAACGGCAUGGGAAGGCCGGCCGAAGGGGGUGAGAGCCCCGUAACCGAAACGGAUGCACACUUCGUGGGACAGCCACCUAAGUACGGCGAGGCUCGAGAAACCUUGUCGGAAGCAGGGUCGACCACGAUCCAAGGCUAAAUACGAUGCGGCGACCGAUAGUGAAGAAGUACCGUGAGGGAAAGGCGAAAAGAACCCCGGUGAGGGGAGUGAAAGAGAACCUGAAACCAUAUGCCCACAACAGGUCGGAGGGGGGAGUGAUCCUCCUGACGGCGUGCCUUUUGUAGAAUGAGCCUGCGAGUUACGGUGACGAGCGAGGUUAAGGGAUGGGAGUCCCGGAGCCGGAGGGAAACCGAGUCUGAAGAGGGCGGUGUGAGCGGAAGCUCACAAGAGUUCGUUGUCGUAGACCCGAAGCCAGGUGAUCUUAUUACGGUCAGGCUGAAGCUCAGGUAACACUGUGUGGAGGGCCGAACUCUAGUGUGUUAAAAAACGCAGGGAUGAACCGUGAUAAGGGGUGAAAGGCUAAACAAACCUGGAAAUAGCUGGCACUCCCCGAAAUGCCUUGAGGGACAGCCUCAUACAACUAUCACGGAGGUAGAGCACUGUUUGGACUAGGGCUCUUCACCGGGUACCAAACCCAGGCAAACUGCGAAUGCCGUGACAGAACGUAUGGGAGUGAGACUGCGGGCGAUAAGGUUCGUAGUCGAGAGGGGAACAGCCCAGACCGACAGCUAAGGUCCCGAAAUACCGCUGAGUGUAAAAUGAGGUGCGAUUGCGAAGACAGCCAGGAGGUUGGCUUAGAAGCAGCAAUUCCUUGAAAGAGUGCGUAACAGCUCACUGGUCGAGCAAUGGUGCGCAGACAAUGUAACGGGGCUAUGCGGUAUACCGAAGCUUCGGAUUCUAUGCGAGAGCAUAGGGUGGUAGGGGAGCAUUCCAUGGACCGGAGAAGGUGAUCCGAGAGGGUUGCUGGAGGGGAUGGAAGAGAGAAUGCAGGUAUAAGUACACGAAAAGACGGGUGAGAUUCCCGUCCGCCGAAAACCUAAGGUUUCCUGGGUAAAGGUCAUCUGCCCAGGGUUAGUCGGUCCCUAAGAUGAGGCUGAAAGGCGUAGUCGAUGGGAAUCUGGUUCAUAUUCCAGAACCAUAUACAGAUUCGAAGGGAUGACGCAUGAGGUGACACACAUGCCGGAGGACGGUUGAUCCGGUUGACGUGGUGAGCCAGUGAGGUGGCUAGGGAAAACCGGCUGCUGAGGUGAACUGCGGAGGGAGCGAGGCUACGGCUGAGCGAAGGGUGUGGAAUCAGGGUGCCAAGAAAGAGUCUCUAAGGAUAAUCUGUAUAUGACCGUACCGUAAACCGACACAGGUAGGUGGGAUGAGAAAUCUAAGGCGCUCGAGAGAACUCGCGUUAAGGAACUCGGCAAAAUGCACACGUAACUUCGGGAGAAGUGUGGCCCACGGAAGUGGGUUGCAGAGAGCAGGCCCAGGCGACUGUUUACCAAAAACACAGGACUCUGCGAACGCGCAAGCGGACGUAUAGGGUCUGACGCCUGCCCGGUGCUGGAAGGUUAAGAGGAGGGGUUAGCGCAAGCGAAGCUCUGAAUUGAAGCCCCAGUAAACGGCGGCCGUAACUAUAACGGUCCUAAGGUAGCGAAAUUCCUUGUCGGGUAAGUUCCGACCCGCACGAAUGGUGGAACGAUCUGGGCACUGUCUCGACGCGAGACUCGGUGAAAUUUAAGUACCGGUAAAGAUGCCGGUUACCCGUGGUUAGACGGAAAGACCCCAUGAACCUUUACUGUAGCUUACCAUGGGGACUUGGCCUGACAUGUGUAGGAUAGGUGGGAGACUUUGAAGCAUGGCCGCCAGGCUGUGUGGAGUCGUCGGUGAAAUACCACUCUUGUCAGGCUAGGUUUCUAACGCAGUUUGUCAAUCCAGGCUGCGGACAGUGGUAGGUGGGCAGUUUGACUGGGGCGGUCGCCUCCUAAACAGUAACGGAGGUGCGCGAAGGUCGCCUUGCGCUGGGUGGAAAUCAGCGCGCAAAGUGUAAAGGCAUAAGGCGGCUUGACUGCGAGUCCGACAGGACGAGCAGGUACGAAAGUAGGUCUUAGUGAUCUGGCGGUCGCGAGUGGAAGCGCCGUCACUUAACGGAUAAAAGGUACUCUGGGGAUAACAGGCUGAUCUUGCCCAAGAGUUCACAUCGACGGCAAGGUUUGGCACCUCGAUGUCGGCUCAUCGCAUCCUGGGGCUGGAGCAGGUCCCAAGGGUUUGGCUGUUCGCCAAUUAAAGCGGUACGUGAGCUGGGUUCAGAACGUCGUGAGACAGUUCGGUCCCUAUCUGCCACGGGCGUUGGAUGGUUGAGAGGAGCUGCUUUUAGUACGAGAGGAUCGAAGUGGACGAACCUCUGGUGUACCAGUUAUCCUGCCAAGGGUAAGUGCUGGGUAGCCACGUUCGGAAGGGAUAACCGCUGAAAGCAUCUAAGUGGGAAGCCCACCUCAAGAUGAACCAUCCCUGGGGUGCGCCGGCGACGGCGAAACCCCCUGAAGGUACCAGAGAGACUAUCUGGUUGAUAGGCUGGAGGUGGAAGCGCGGUAACGCGUGGAGCCGACCAGUACUAAUCUACCGUGAGGCUUGACCAU